CAGCAGCCGCGGUAAUACGAAGGGUGCAAGCGUUAAUCGGAAUUACUGGGCGUAAAGCGUGCGCAGGCGGUUUGUUAAGACAGAUGUGAAAUCCCCGGGCUCAACCUGGGAACUGCAUUUGUGACUGGCAAGCUAGAGUGUGGCAGAGGGGGGUGGAAUUCCGCGUGUAGCAGUGAAAUGCGUAGAUAUGCGGAGGAACACCGAUGGCGAAGGCAGCCCCCUGGGCCAACACUGACGCUCAUGCACGAAAGCGUGGGGAGUAAACAGGAUUAGAUACCCCAGUAGUCCCUGUCUCUUAUAA
This 301-nucleotide ribosomal RNA is filed under the name uncultured bacterium. Its description in RNAcentral is "partial 16S ribosomal RNA". It matches the Rfam family "Bacterial small subunit ribosomal RNA", at positions 509 to 809 of the family's 1533-position model. The record is from RNAcentral.